This 329-nucleotide ribosomal RNA is filed under the name uncultured eukaryote. Its description in RNAcentral is "partial 18S ribosomal RNA". It matches the Rfam family "Eukaryotic small subunit ribosomal RNA", at positions 1470 to 1796 of the family's 1831-position model. The record is from RNAcentral.
CCCUUAGGUGUUCUGGGCCGCACGCGCGCUACACUGAUGCAUUCAACGAGUCUAAAACCUGCUCUGAUAGGGGUGGGUAAUCUUUUGAAUGUGCAUCGUGAUUGGGAUAGAUGAUUGCAAUUUUUCAUCUUCAACGAGGAAUGCCUAGUAAACGCAAGUCAUCAGCUUGCAUUGAUUACGUCCCUGCCCUUUGUACACACCGCCCGUCGCUCCUACCGAUUGAAUGAUCCGAUGAAUAUCAUGGAUUGAGGAUGCAAGUAGGUUCGCCUAUCUUCAUCUUCGAGAAGUGAAGUAAAUCUUAUCAUUUAGAGGAAGGAGAAGUCGUAACA